This is a long non-coding RNA of Macaca mulatta (Rhesus monkey), 2332 nucleotides long. NCBI's taxonomy places the organism in Eukaryota, Metazoa, Chordata, Mammalia, Primates, Cercopithecidae. The record is from Ensembl.
UUUUUGUUUGUGUGCCUUUUGGGGAUUUUGGGGUUUUUUUUUUUUUGCAUGUUUGUUUGGUUUUGAGACAACAUCUGGCUCUGUUGCCCAUGCUGGGGUGCAUUGGUGCGAUCUGGCUCCCUGUAACCUCCACCUCCCACCUCAGCCUCCUAAAGAAAUGAAUACAGGCGUGGACCACCACACCGGACUAACUUUUGUAUUUUUUGUACACACAGGGUUUACCGUGUUUCCCAGGCUGGACUGGAACUCCUGAGCUCAAGUGAUCCUCCCGACUUGACAAGUGCUGGGGUUAGAGGUAUGAGCCGCCAUGACCCACCGUACUUGAAUUUUUUGUAUCCAGAUGUUAUCGAGGAGCUUUUAUGGCCUAAACUGUGGACUAUCCUGGAGGAUGUUUGUGUGUGAGACAAUGUAUGUUCUCGAACAUCAUAGAUUCCAUUUUGGAUGCUCCCUUCGUGACUGUGUGCUCCUGUCCUGGAACUCAAGUGAACACUUGGCUCUCCAUCCAUUGCUGUUCUCUAGAAAUCCAGCUCAAUUCUCUUGGUUAAAGAUAAGAUUCCAUUUUGGAUGCUCCCUUCGUGACUGUGUGUCCCUGUCCUGGAACUCAAGUGAACACUUGGCUCUCCAUCCAUUGCUGUUCUCUAGAAAUCCAGCUCAAUUCUCUUGGUUAAAGAUAAGGCUGAAGUCCGUAAGCACUUCCAACCUAGGUCUCUUGUGCUCCAAUGGUCCUCCUUUUUGGGACAGAAUCCUGCUCUGUGACCCAGGCUAGAGUGCAGUGGCGCGAUCUCGGCUCACGGCAACCUCCGCCUCCCGGAGCAAUUCUCCUGCCUCAGCUUCGUGAGUAGCUGGGAUUACAGGCACCCAACAUCAUGUUUGGCUAACAUUUGUGUUUUUCUUUUUUAUUCAUUUAUUUAUUUACUUUUCAGAUGGAGUCUCGCUGUCAACCAGGCUGGAGGGCAGUGGCGUGAUCCCGGCUGACUCCAACCUCUGCCUGUCGUGGUCAAGCAAUUCUCCUGCCUCAGCCUCCGGAGUAGCUGGAAUGACAGGAACACACCACCAUGCCCAGCUACUUUUUGUAUUUUUUUUUUCAUUUUUCAUUUUUUUUUUUUUAAGUAAACAGGGGGUUUCACCAUGUUGUCCAGGCUAGUCCGAAACCCCUGACCUUAAGUGAGCCACCGUGUGUGGCCGUCACCACCUUUCACUUUAUGGAAAUUUUUCUGAACCUCACGUGGGGUCAGGUGGAGUUGAAGGGACUUCAGUGUCCCCUGCAGAUGGGAUGUGCAUGGCUCAGCAGGAGCACGGAGGUGGAGUGCAUGGGGCUUCAGUGUUUAUUGGGGAAAUGAAGCUGAAAUCUUGGGUGCAUGACCAGGAGAUAAAUGCAUGAGAUGGGGUCUCACUAUGCUGCCCAGGCUAAAGUGGGCUUAGAUCCUCCUGCGUCUGCCCCUCGCCGGCCUUAGUAGCUGGGACUACAUGUGAAUAUUAUUAACCUAUGCACAGGAAGAGGAAAGUACGGACUGUUCUUCGAUUCAUGCCCCACCCCCAGUUACAUUUGUAUUUUAGAUGAACCAUGUGUUUGAGAUGCACUUGAAGAACAAAUGAUUUGCUGUUUAGAUGUGAGCAUCCUUUUUUGCUCCUGAUUUAAAUACAGGACAAGGCCGGGUACGGUGGUUCACGCCUGUAAUCUCAUCAUUUGGGUAGGCAGAGACAGGAGGAUCACCUGAGGUCAAUUGCUUGAGACCAGCCUGGCCAACACGGUGAAAUCCCAUCUGUACUAAAAAUACAAAAUUUAGCCAUUCUAAAUUUGUGCUGUUGUUGUGCUGCACGCCUGUAAUCCCAGCUACUCAGGAGGAUGAGGCAGGAGAAUCGCUUGAAGCUGUGAGGCAGAGGUUGCGGUGAGCUGAGAUCGCACAAGUGAACUCCAGCCUGGGCAAAAGAAUAAGAUUCAAUCUCAAAAAAAAUGAAAAACAGACCGGGCGCGGUGGCGCACGCCUGUAAUCCCAGCACUUUGGGAGGUUGAGACGGGCGGAUCACCUCAGGUCUGCCGCGGCAUCGUGGCAAAACCUCAUCUCUACUAAAAAUACAAAAAUUAGCCAGGUGCGAUGACAGGUGCCUGUAAUGCCAGCUACUCAGGAGGGCCAAGGCAGGAGAAUCACUGGAACUGGGCGGCAGAGGUUGCAGUGAGCCAAGAUCGUACCACUGCACUCCAGCCUGUCGACAGAAUAAGACUUGGUCUAAAAAAAAAAAUACUUUUUUUAAUUAAGAAAAAACAAGAUAAAUAUGGGACCAUCAUGAAUUUGGUUGUCACCUUUGUGCAGGGGUCAUGGUAAUCUCUGUC